UACAGACCUCAACUUAAGUUUGCUCUGACUUUUAUCUUUCAUAGGACAAUGAACUUGCUCAACUACCUGGAAACAGGUAACAUGUAUCGUUAGGUUCCAGCAACCUCGAAAUCUUUAACUGAAGGAGCUUGGCCAACCUUCUCAUUUCAAUUUGGAACAUUUGUGGAAUACCUAUGAAGUUCCAGAUUUGGCAUCGUUCACUCUGUAGGAAAUUAGAAUCUUUUCGAUGUGGGAGAAGGAGAAGAAGACAUGUGAUUGUCAGCAUUCCAGGCCUUUUCUCUCCCCUGAACUAAAACAUGCAUUUAUGGGCUGGUCCGGAAACAGAUUUGAGUAAUAUGGCAACUAAACUCUACGGUUCAAUGAUUGGCAGUGUCCCCGAGAAUGAGUUACCUCCAACGUGGCUCUUCAACACCAGGCCAUGCAAUGGGGGAGGUAACUCCCAGUGCCAAGGUGUCAUCAGGUGGACUAGAGGACCAGUCAAGUGACCUGAAGAAUGGCUACACUUCAGCUUUCAUCAAAAAAAAUUUUGGAAGGUCACCACCACUUCGAUUGAUUGAAUUUAUCAGCAAUUCACGUAUUAUAUCUGGUGACUUUAACACUGGAAAUUGUGUUACUUCUGGGGAAAAGUUACAGUGCUAGUUAACACUUAUUUUUCAAAACUUUAAGUUUUUUGCCCCAACUGUGUUGAGGUAUAAUUGACAAAUAAAAAUUGUAUGUAUUUAAGAUUUC
Molecule: long non-coding RNA, 729 nt
Filed under: Ursus maritimus (polar bear)
Lineage: Eukaryota; Metazoa; Chordata; Mammalia; Carnivora; Ursidae
Description: lncRNA (ENSUMAG00000002606.1)
Source: RNAcentral